This 723-nucleotide ribosomal RNA is filed under the name Heterocapsa sp. RNAcentral describes it as "LSU rRNA". It matches the Rfam family "Eukaryotic large subunit ribosomal RNA", at positions 43 to 651 of the family's 3401-position model. The record is from RNAcentral. Lineage: Eukaryota; Dinophyceae; Peridiniales; Heterocapsaceae.
UAAGUAAGCGGAGGAUAAGAAACUAAAUAGGAUUCCCUCAGUAAUGGCGAAUGAACAGGGAUGAGCUCAGCAUGGAAAUCGGGGCCUGUGGCCUUGAAUUGUAGUCUCGAGAAGCAUUGCCAACGGAGGCGCAGAUGUGAGCCUCUUGGAAAAGAGCAUCGACGAGGGUGAGAGUCCCGUUUGUCAUCUGCAGUCCCCCGUGCACGGUGUGCUUUCUAAAGAGUCACGUUCCUCGGGAUUGGAGCGCAAAGUGGGUGGUAAAUUUCAUCUAAAGCUAAAUAUAGGUUCGAGACCGAUAGCAAACAAGUACCAUGAGGGAAAGGUGAAAAGGACUUUGAAAAGAGAGUUAAAAGUGCCUGAAAUUGCUGAAAGGGAAGCGAAUGGAACCAGUGUUGCUUGGCAAGAUUGGUGCGUGCUAAUGUGAUUGGCUGCUGCUUCAGCGCAAGCGUGGCAGUGGUUUUUGAUCAGGACGUGCGUGUUGUUUCUUGCCUUGUGUGUCAACGUCAGUUCUCAAUCGAGGAAAACGCCAGGGAAAUGGGAGCCUGGGUCCGCUUGGGUGAACGUCCUUGGUUGAACUCAUUUGUGAACUGUUUCUUGCGUGUCUGGUUGCAGUGCUCUCUGUCCCUGGGACUCCAAUGUGGGCUUCGGUCUGCUUGGGCGUCUUGGGCGACUGGGGUAUCUCCCUGACACAACGACGAUGACUAAAUGGUUCUAUUCGACCCG